RNAcentral lists this ribosomal RNA (447 nucleotides) under uncultured bacterium. RNAcentral describes it as "bacterial SSU rRNA". It matches the Rfam family "Bacterial small subunit ribosomal RNA", at positions 329 to 792 of the family's 1533-position model. The record is from RNAcentral.
UUCCAGACUCCUACGGGAGGCAGCAGUGGGGAAUAUUGCACAAUGGGGGAAACCCUGAUGCAGCGACGCCGCGUGGGUGAAGAAGUAUUUCGGUAUGUAAAGCCCUAUCAGCAGGGAAGAAAGAGGACGGUACCUGACUAAGAAGCCCCGGCUAACUACGUGCCAGCAGCCGCGGUAAUACGUAGGGGGCAAGCGUUAUCCGGAUUUACUGGGUGUAAAGGGAGCGUAGACGGCAGAUCAAGUCUGGAGUGAAAUCCCGGGGCUCAACCCCGGAGCUGCUCUGGAAACUGAGAAGCUAGAGUACUGGAGAGGCAGGCGGAAUUCCUAGUGUAGCGGUGAAAUGCGUAGAUAUUAGGAGGAACACCAGUGGCGAAGGCGGCCUGCUGGACAGCGACUGACGUUGAGGCUCGAAAGCGUGGGGAGCAAACAGGAUUAGAUACCCCAGUA